Molecule: long non-coding RNA, 1219 nt
Organism: Nelumbo nucifera (sacred lotus)
Lineage: Eukaryota; Viridiplantae; Streptophyta; Magnoliopsida; Proteales; Nelumbonaceae
Source: RefSeq, a predicted model, not a curated record
UUUGCUCUUCACUUUCUUCCCGCACAUCUCUCUCUCUCUCUCUCUCUCUCUCAAGUCUGGGAGAGGAGCUAGCCUUCAGACAAGGAAGAAAAGGAGAGGUUUUUACACGAUCUGGCAGGUUUUGGUUUCUACAUCCCGCAAUGAGAGAAAAAGGGUUAGUUAAACAUCCCUUCUCCAUAUUCAUUUGGAAUGAAAAAGAAAAAGAAAAAACAGCUUUUGUUUCUUCUAAAGCUUACACUCUGAAUCCAUUACCAGUUUCGACACUGGAAGAAUUGGAUUCUUCAGGAGAUGAGGAGGAGAUCUUCUUAGGGUUGUUCUGCCUUGACAAGGGUAGCUUUUCUAUAAGAAUGGGAUGUUCGUUUUAAUUAGGUGCUAUCCUAACUGAGCUUUUUUUUUCAUCAAACCUUUUCUCACCAACCAUCAACAUUUGUUUCUUUGUUCCUAUAGUCUUCUUGACCUUGUAAGACCUUUUCUUGACCUUGUAAGGCCCCACGUCAGGGUUGCUUAUCUUUGUUUUUCAUUUAGUUUCAGAUCCCCUAUCAGAUGCCAUGGAUAUGGUGUCUUACGUUUAUGGUUCCCUGUUUCCGCCCAACUCAUCUUCCUUUUCUCCGUCUAUCCCUCCUGAGCUAUUUGAACCAGACAGACUCUAUCCAACCCCCAUUCAUAUCAGUGCUUCUGCUUUCCUUCUGAGCACAUGAAUUAUAUUAUCAUAUAUUGUUUGAAGACUCUCAUCAAGAGUCCGUUUGGGGAGCCUGGAGUCUACAUCUUAUGAACAUUCUUCCAUGUAAAGCUUCAAGGAAACAAAUAAAAUGGCGAAAGUGACUCAUUGGAGAAGCGUUCAGAGAUUAGUACCCAAGCAAUUAGAAAGUGUUUGUUUUACUUUUCCAUUGCUGUAAAGGGCUUUGGAUUUUCUUUGUAUUAUGUGUUCAGAAAUAUGCUGUGGCAGGCAUCAGUUUCGUUGUUUUAUAUGUUGUUGGCUGAUGAGUGAAUAGAUGAUAAAUAUUCUCGCAGAUCUCUGAGGAGUCUCCUCGUGACUGUUCCAAUGUACAAUUACAAUGUCUCCACUGUAUCAUUGGACUUCUCUUUCUCUCUCUCUCAUUCUGUUAUUCUUAGUAUUAACAAUAUUUCCUUUUUUUUCAUUAAUUUUAUUUUCUUAUCUUAUCUUUUCAAUGGGUCAUUCACAUCACAUUUAUGGCUGGUAAUGAUCAUAUUUUUAAUA